GAGGACAAUGGGCUGAGGCGCGUUCACGAGUCGACCCCAUGUUUUUAUUUUCUUUCGUCUUUGAACCUAAACACAGAUUCCCGGUCGGAAUAUUAUCGCUUUUUUACAAGAAAAAUGGCAUAAAAAUUGAUUUUAAACAGCGGUUGACAUGCUUCGAAGUACGGUAAUGGAAUAUUUAGAAUUUUUUUGUCACGAAAUGCGUCACCCUUCUUUACCAUUCGGAUAGUGUCUUGAACGCACGAACAAAACAGAGGAUAUUUGAACAUAACUAUGGAUUAUUUUGAACCAAACCAACAUUUGUUAUUGAAGUAGAAGUCCUGGGAGUGCAUCGCAAAUGCAACAAUAAGUGGUUUAGAAGGAAUCAGUGGCUAACUGCUAGCAUUGCAUAGCAGUCACUAGCCUGCUAUUCAAUUUGGGAACCCAGGCCUCUUUCUAGACCUCCGACCUGAAGAUCACUGAUGUCAUCAUGAUUAGACAUUGUUUUUUUCAGAGUUCCCAGUUGUCUUGAAGGCACUAUAAAUCCAGAGAAUGCCAGACUUUGAUGACAAAGAUUGAGGACAAUUUGCCCACGAUGGACCACCACGCCACCUUCCUUUUCAAGUGAGCACUGCACAACAAGAUUUGGGGUCUGACAAAAGGAUCUAUCUUUCAGUUGCAUUCUACAGAAAUAAGACCAUUUCCGGAGACCUUCUCCCCUACCUCACCUCGCUCAUCAACUCAUCCUUGACCGCUGGCUACGUCCCUUCCGUCUUCAAGAGAGCGAGAGUUGCACCCCUUCUGAAAAAACCUACACUCGAUCCCGCCGAUGUCAACAACUACAGACCGAUAUGGAGAUUUGUGAAAUCCCGUCUGCUGAUGAAGAGGUCCCAGUGAAUUUCCCAAGAGACUGCUGGCACAUCCUUCUAUGCCAUGGGUUGAAUGUAUACUUAUGUUAGCAAAUGUUGUAUACAACAAUACAGUUAAAAGUCACACACAAUGUAAGCUAUAAACUUAUUACAACUUUUUCUAUAAUCUAUUUAUGGUCAAAUACUUCAGUUGUAACUGUGGAACUCACUUUUUACAGUUGAAGACAACUUAAGCACUCUUAAAAACUCAUUUGAAUGAGUUUGUUUAUUUCUUACAGUAGCCUAUAGAUCUAAACAUCUCUGGAGGUGCUGCAUGGGCUCAUUUGUUGUCUUACUAUUAAUUACACAGGCUGUAUGACCUAUUUCUUGGUCAACUCAUAUCAAUAUCAGCUUAUUAGUGGUGGGGUAGGCUAAAUAAAAACAGAAUAUGCCUAAUUAAAAGAACAGUAAUGAAGGAAAUUAAAAAAUGCUGGGCAGAGCAUGCAAAGAGCUCAUGUCUGAGCGGUACCGGAGCAAAAUUGGAGCUAGAGAGAAGGCCAACUCUCCAACAUAUUUGCCAUUGACACUUUGUAAUUAUGUGUUGCUCUAUAAAAGAGACCAGGACGGAAUCUAUAAUCUUUGACUUUAUUGAACUACCUGAACAUAAAACCUUUACUACAAAAUGUGCCUGCUUCCGUACCAUGUCUGUUUCACCUUCAUCUGUCACAAAAUGAGCCCAGACCAUGAGUGAAGGGAGGGAGGAAUCCAUGAAUUGAUGGGCUGUGCUAUUUCCUCCUUGGAAGUACCCAUUUCAAAGUGGCAGAGGCUUUCCCCACUACCGUACAGUCCCUGUUUGUGGGCUAAAUGAGUGCUGGUCCACGCCAGCUUUUAAAGCCCAUUAUCCAAAGGGAGAGAAGAGGGAAUACUGCUUCCAACUGCUGUCUCCCAGCCCAGGCUUCUCUCCGGCAAAGCAUGAAGAAUACCUUCCCUGUGGCACAAAAACCCUUCCCUUCUUUAUGAGUCAUUGACAUGCAGAGUUACAUCCACCAUAGAAACCCUUAUUCCCUGCAACAUUAUUAAUUCAGAAAGUCAGUUCCCGACUUUAUUAUUCCUCCAUAAAUCAGGAUUCCAAAACAAUAUGCCAACUAUCGGAGGUGAAAUAUGAUUGAGAUGUAGCGCUGACAGGGUCAUAAGAGUUAUCCAAAUUUGCAUUAAUUAGCACUGUUCGUACCAAAUACUGUGAUUUACUCAAACGAUUGAGUCCACAUGCCUAUCUUUGUAC
Molecule: long non-coding RNA, 2106 nt
Filed under: Salmo salar (Atlantic salmon)
Lineage: Eukaryota; Metazoa; Chordata; Actinopteri; Salmoniformes; Salmonidae
Description: lncRNA (ENSSSAG00000103239.1)
Source: RNAcentral